AAGAUACUGAAGUGCAGAGAAGUUACUGCCCGAGGUCACCUGGCUGCAGUGUGAGACUUGAACCAGAACUCCUGGACUCGGCCACAGAUGCUGUACCUCCCAGAGGUUCAGGAAGAUGUCCUGCUUUCACCUGCACAUCCUGGCCAUUCCUGGGCUUUCUGCAUUACAGAAUUGACAAGGAGAAGGUUACAGAUAGUCUGAUAGGACAGAGUUGCUGGUGUGUGGGGCCACAGCUGGAGUUGAGUGAGGGUGAAGCCUGGAGUCCUUUCCUGGACCCCAGAGACAGAACAGUGAAGAGUGCAUGUCAGAGAGAUGGUGAAGACAGGAGGAGGAAGUGGAAGUGAAGAUGACCAGGAGAGUGAGGGGGCAGGAGGAGAGCCGAGAAAAUGGGAGAACGAAGGGGGCUGGAAGGGUACUCAACAUGCAAUGUGUAUUUAUAUGAAAAUUUAACUUAA
Molecule: long non-coding RNA, 455 nt
Filed under: Rattus norvegicus (Norway rat)
Lineage: Eukaryota; Metazoa; Chordata; Mammalia; Rodentia; Muridae
Description: long non-coding RNA NONRATT005347
Source: RNAcentral